CCCCUAGAUGUUCUGGGCCGCACGCGCGCUACACUGAACAGUUCAACAAGUCUUAACCUUGGCCGAUAGGUCUGGGUAAUCUUUGAACGCUGUUCGUGAUUGGGAUAGACCUUUGCAAUUAUGGGUCUUCAACGAGGAAUUCCUAGUAAACGCAAGUCAUCAGCUUGCAUUGAUUACGUCCCUGCCCUUUGUACACACCGCCCGUCGCACCUACCGAUUGAAUGGUCCGGUGAAAUCUCGGGAUGGCGGCUUGGUCGCUUGCGUCCGACUGCUGAAACUUGAUUAAACCAUNUNAUUUAGNGGAAGGUGAANUCGUANCA
Molecule: ribosomal RNA, 320 nt
Filed under: uncultured eukaryote
Lineage: Eukaryota
Description: partial 18S ribosomal RNA
Rfam family: Eukaryotic small subunit ribosomal RNA
Source: RNAcentral